AGCUGGUUAGAGCAUCCGACUCAUCCUUCUACCCAAAACCGGGGCAGGUCGACAGUUCAAGUCUGUCCGGGCCCACCA
This 78-nucleotide transfer RNA is filed under the name Litorivivens lipolytica. RNAcentral describes it as "tRNA-OTHER". Lineage: Bacteria; Pseudomonadati; Pseudomonadota; Gammaproteobacteria. The record is from RNAcentral.